AAUUCAUAUGUGCCUUGAACAUCUUUUUUGGGGCGUGUUUUUCUAUUUUUCUUCUCUUUUGGUUUCUGGCAUUCUCUCCGAAGAAGCACAAUGAUAAAGAAAAGUAAAAACAUGGAAGAAAGCGUUAAACUGCAGAAAAUAAAUAGAAUGGA
This 152-nucleotide non-coding RNA is filed under the name Platyophrya macrostoma. Lineage: Eukaryota; Ciliophora; Colpodea; Cyrtolophosidida; Platyophryidae. The record is from RNAcentral.